Long non-coding RNA from Etheostoma spectabile (orangethroat darter), 1257 nucleotides. RefSeq lists it as uncharacterized. The transcript is spliced from 2 exons. NCBI's taxonomy places the organism in Eukaryota, Metazoa, Chordata, Actinopteri, Perciformes, Percidae. The record is from RefSeq and is a predicted model, not a curated record.
UACGUCAGGUGUUUCCAGUUAAUGUGGCUGAGUGGACCUCUUCCAGGACUGUGUGGGUGUCUACAGCCUGAUUGAUUAACAUCUUCCUGACACUCUUGUUAGCUGUGUUGCACCUGAGAGGGCGGGACAAUGACAGCUUCAUCGUUCUUAUUUGUAGGAAAGAUGUGUGACCUCAUAAAUUCCCAUCUACGCUCCGGCCCACCUUCAACCUGAGCAGAGGUCUAAUCACACAGAAGAACUCAAAUCACCUGUGUGGGUGUUGGGAGGCUUUAUCUGGUCCAUCCAUUGAUGGAUUUUCCAUCAACAUUAACUGUUUGAUGCAUAACAUAAUUCUAGUGAUUAAUGGACACGUAUAUUUGCAUUGUAUCAAAUUCAAAUUCCCGUCCCUCGUUUGUAUUUAGCCAUUCUUCUUUGUAGCAAUAACAUGUCUUUCUUUCCCAUCAGGAGAGAGGAACGCGUUAAAGAUCUAAUUCUGUUGCCCCUUCAAAUAUCUAUUUUUGUAAGAAUUACUGAAGCACUUCUGACUAAGGACUCCAGGCAGGAGCAUGCGACGAGCUGUAACUCCUCUCAUUGCUAAUGAAACGGCCGGCCAUGUCGCAGCUGCUCGACAACAACCAUUACGCCCAAUAUUCAUGACUCGAAAAACAAAACAAGUAUGCUCACAUGUGCAUCGCAAGAGCCACUCCACUAUCCUAGCAUAUAUGUAAAGGAAAAAGAGAACUGAUAUAUCCUUUUGGUCAUAUUCCAAUUUCACUGCUGUCUAUUUUCUUAUGACUGUGCACUGUGUGAGUGUUCACGAUAAAUGGCUAUUUUACUCCUCAGAGUGCUGUUAUUGCUCCUUUACGUAAUUUUACUGAAAUGAGGUAUAUUUCAUGUUACUGUUCAACAUUAUAGUUACAUUUUUUUGUACUCCUGUUUUGUGAAUAGUGACAUUCAUGUUUGUUAUGUUGAUAUUAUUCUGUUCCUUACCCUGCUGUGGAUGCCGCAGCUUCCCUUAAUUCAGCUUCUUCUGAGACAAACGUUAACCCCGCGCCCCCCCCCCCCCCCCCCCGCGUCAUGUGAUUUCUUUGCUUAUAGUGGAACAUUUUGUAUGGGUGUUGUUGCUCUUCUAUUAUCCCAGUUCUUUUUAUAGUAUUCAUAUUUCUUUUUCAAAUGUUUCUCCUUUUUCAACUUGAUUUCAGAUUGUGACCUUUUACACUGUAGAACAUGAUCAAAUGUACAGCCUUGAAUAAAAAACAUUAAAAGAGAUCAAACAUU